AGCAGUUCUUGGGUGACGCACCUCAGAAUCGGGCUCCCUCCUCUCUGGUUCUGGGUGCGUCACCCGAGAACCACA
Myotis davidii is the source of this 75-nucleotide non-coding RNA. Lineage: Eukaryota; Metazoa; Chordata; Mammalia; Chiroptera; Vespertilionidae. The record is from Rfam.